RNAcentral lists this ribosomal RNA (548 nucleotides) under Salmonella enterica subsp. enterica serovar Montevideo. RNAcentral's name for it is "bacterial SSU rRNA". It matches the Rfam family "Bacterial small subunit ribosomal RNA", at positions 997 to 1533 of the family's 1533-position model. The record is from RNAcentral. Lineage: Bacteria; Pseudomonadati; Pseudomonadota; Gammaproteobacteria; Enterobacterales; Enterobacteriaceae.
UUUCCAGAGAUGGAUUGGUGCCUUCGGGAACCGUGAGACAGGUGCUGCAUGGCUGUCGUCAGCUCGUGUUGUGAAAUGUUGGGUUAAGUCCCGCAACGAGCGCAACCCUUAUCCUUUGUUGCCAGCGGUCCGGCCGGGAACUCAAAGGAGACUGCCAGUGAUAAACUGGAGGAAGGUGGGGAUGACGUCAAGUCAUCAUGGCCCUUACGACCAGGGCUACACACGUGCUACAAUGGCGCAUACAAAGAGAAGCGACCUCGCGAGAGCAAGCGGACCUCAUAAAGUGCGUCGUAGUCCGGAUUGGAGUCUGCAACUCGACUCCAUGAAGUCGGAAUCGCUAGUAAUCGUGGAUCAGAAUGCCACGGUGAAUACGUUCCCGGGCCUUGUACACACCGCCCGUCACACCAUGGGAGUGGGUUGCAAAAGAAGUAGGUAGCUUAACCUUCGGGAGGGCGCUUACCACUUUGUGAUUCAUGACUGGGGUGAAGUCGUAACAAGGUAACCGUAGGGGAACCUGCGGUUGGAUCACCUCCUUACCUUAAAGAAGC